Molecule: ribosomal RNA, 239 nt
Filed under: uncultured bacterium
Lineage: Bacteria
Description: partial 16S ribosomal RNA
Rfam family: Bacterial small subunit ribosomal RNA
Source: RNAcentral
CCGGCACGGGUGAGUAACACGUAUCCAACCUGCCGUCUACUCUUGGCCAGCCUUCUGAAAGGAAGAUUAAUCCAGGAUGGCAUCAUGAGUUCACAUGUCCGCAUGAUUAAAGGUAUUUUCCGGUAGACGAUGGGGAUGUGUUCCAUUAGAUAGUAGGCGGGGUAACGGCCCACCUAGUCAACGAUGGAUAGGGGUUCUGAGAGGAAGGUCCCCCACAUUGGAACUGAGACACGGUCCAA